RNAcentral lists this long non-coding RNA (18571 nucleotides) under Podarcis lilfordi (Lilford's wall lizard). The record is from RNAcentral. Lineage: Eukaryota; Metazoa; Chordata; Lepidosauria; Squamata; Lacertidae.
GCCAAACUAUUUUCAAAUUCAGUGCAAAACGAGUCCCUUCCUAAAACCUAGCCUUUACGAAAUAAAAAUGGAAAAACACGCUAUUAUUUAAAAGAAUCGCUUCGGCUUCCAAAGAAAUUAUGAGUCUGGAAUUAGGUGAGGCAGGGAGGGAGAGCUGGAAACAAAAGUCCGGGCAACGUUUGGUAAAGGCCGAGACCAUCCCAGAUUGAGUUACUGACGGAAUUACAGCUGACACUAAGAACUGUUUGAGAUGACUUGAGGAGGGUGGGGGGCAAUGGUAGACAAUGGUUUGUAUUAUUUAGUGGGAUAAAGGUGACAUUUCAGGGAAUGUGGAAGACUAAGGAAGGCAGAGCCUCCUUGUCUGCCCCCUCAGAUCCAAACAUCAGUUGCUCUUGUACUCAAAGCCAGCAGGGAUCCGGGAGGGAAAGACAAGCCGCUGUAAUCAGUUUAAGCUUCCAGACAAGCCGGCCCCCAGGUUCUGUUUAUGCACUUUCCACCUCGCCAGAGACCUCUUGAUUUAUCCAGGAGAUGAACACUGCCUUCUUCUCUUCCUUCUCUCACCACUCUCUUACGAAACCUCCCAAAUAAGAUUAAGGAGGGCUUCCUUUUCAAUGAAACACAACUUUAAAACAUACACACAAGUCCUCAUCAAAAUGUGCCACCCUGCUUUCUGUAAGCAAAAUCCACGUGAUGCAGAACAGGGGUGAGGAACCUCCAGCCCAGGAGCCAAAUUGAGCCCUCCAGACCUCCAUGCAUCAGCCUUAGAACUCUGCCCAGGCCACCUCUCCUCUCCCCAGACCACAUGUGCAUUUGUUAGGCUUGCCAUACAUCAGGAAAAUUCCUGACAUGUCCUGGCUUUCGGGUGCAAAAAUGGUGUCAUGGGGAAAUCCAGAGGUAAAAUCACUAUCUUUGGGUUAGGUUUCCCUAAAAAAGCUCAACAACUUUGUAGGUGUCAGGAAUUUUACUUUAUAAAACAUGGCAACCCUAGCAUUUGUUUCUCUACCCACCAGUGACAUGCACUCCUCAGAAGGUUUCCCAGAAGAGGAUGCGGCCCAUGAGCUGAAAAACCUUCCCCAAGUGAAUGCUAGUCUAUUUGCAUUUAAAGGUUAAUAUAUUAAAUUUGCACUUUCCAUAACAAUAGGAGAAGCAAACCUAUUUUGCAGUGCAGUAUUCCAGCUAAGCAGUGUUUAUGAAAAAUGUGUCUGCUAGGGUAAAGUGUGCAUAAAAAUGAAUAUAUUCAUGAAAAUAGCAUACAAAAAAUGCAUUCUAUUAAGGGGGAAAAUUGCUUGCAAAAAUACACAUAUUAGUCUAAACAUCAUACAGAAAUGUGUUCAUUAGAAAUUUGCACUGAAGUGCUGGUUCAUCUUAUAGAGAUUUAAAACAAAAAUAAAUCACAAUUUGUGGCAGAAAUGCGGAGAACUGAACGAGAAUAAACAAGAAACUGAGAAAACCAAAACUGACAGAUCCUUCCAUCUCUAAUCCAGAGGGUAGGGCCUGAUUUAACAGGUUUGAAUUAUGUGAAAGGGGAUCUCAACAUUUGGAAGACCUGCCUGGUGGUCCAUCAGUGGAGCAGACAGCUUCAUAUGGUAAUGAACUCUUUUCCUUUCAAGGUUUUUAAGAUCGAUGACCACCUAGCAGGGAUGUUGCAGCCGCAGAUUCCAUGAAUUGGCAUUGGGGUGAGACUGGGUGAUUUUUGAGAUCCUCACCAAAGCUUUGAUUCUAUUAAAUGGCCCCCACAAAAUAGCAUAACCUCCAACAUUUGAAUAAUGAAAAAAAUAGCAGCAAUGCAAAAUGCCCAUGUUUUGAUCAUGAGAAUCACACUCUGAAUUUCAUUAUUAAACAUUGCUGAAAGGUAUAGUCUGGCUACUAAUGUUGCAUUCAUUUGUUCUGCCAUAGCCCCCUGCUCUGCUGUGGGGACAAGCAAGACAAUACAUGAGAUGCAUGAUCAGAUUUCACAGGUCUUUUUUAAAAGGGGAAGGGCUGGAGAAACAGGCAUGGGAAAGAUUUGUGGUAGCUUCCUUCCUGGACUGUACAUAGGAUGUGAGGACUGGUUUUUUUGUUUUGUUUUUAAAGACAAUGGGGUGGAGUGUGGGAGAAGAAACCCCUCUUGUACACCAUGGUGUGUGUGGAGGGGGUACUUUUCAUUAGGGCCGUGGUGCUGGAGGGAAUAAUUUUUUAAUACCCCUUUUUGCUUGCUAUGUAUCCUGAUGAAUAUAAGAACAUAUAAAGAGCCUUGUUGGAUUGGGUCAAUGGCCCAUCUAGUCCAGCAUCCUGUUCUCACAGUGACCACCCUGAUGCCUCUAUUGGGAAGACCACAAGCAGGACGUGAGUGCAACGGCACUCUGCCCACCUGCAGUUUCCAGCAACUAAUAUUCAGGGACUUCCUGCCCCAAGCAUAUUUUAAACAAAAGAAAUAAGGGUGGAGGGGGACCAAGACUGUGCAUUUCAAUGAUUGUUUAGUGUGGCCCUUUAUAGGCUUAUCUUACAUGUAUUUGUCCAAUCCUCUUUUAAAACCAUCCAAGUUGAUGGCUUCAGCUGUUUCAUGUGGGAGGCAGGCGGCCCAGAAGUGACUUUGAUGGCUUUGGUGUGUGGAACGGCAGGCUGUUAUGUGCACAAUACCUUGCAUGGUGUUAUGUACUGAGUUGAAUAGGAUCCAAACUGCAGCAGUCUGAUUGGUCCUAGAACAAUUGGAUCCAAAAUGUAGCAGUCUGAUUGGUCCUAGAAUAGGAUUCAGAAUGCAGUAGUCUGAUUGGUCCUAGAACAAUGCAGCAGUAUGAUUGGUUGGCAGGAGCCACCCAAUCCAGCUCCAGAUAGAAGUGAAUCCACAACCUUAUUGGCCUACAGGAGAAUUCCGGAAUUAGCCAAUCACGUGCAGCCCAUUGUGUAAAUAAUGUAUAUAAAGCAGAUACUUUGAGGGGACAUUCAUUCCUCCUCACCACUAUGAGCUGAAUAAAGAGCAUGAAAUCCACUCUCGACUCUGAGUAUAUUUCACAUACGCAUCUGUAUAUGCAUCUAUGCACAAGACAUUGUGUGUCUAGGGACCCUCAGGAGUUUCUCUUUCUUUCUUAUAAACACUGCAGCUCAUGGUCAUCUAAAGAAGCUGAGCGUUGGAAGAAUCAGGAUAGAUAAAAGAAACUUCUUUUUCACUCAGCACAUGGUAAACCUGUGCAACUUUCUCCUGCGGCACGCAGUGAUAACCACCAACUUGGAUGGCUUUAAAAGAGGGCGGGACAAAGGCAUCGAGGAAGACAAAGUUAUCAAUAGCUACUAGCCAUAAUGGCUAUGGUCUGCCUCCAUAGUCAGAGGCAGCAGUGUAUCGCAGGAGCAUGCUGGUCAGUAAUCACACAGUUUAAAGUUGGAGUUAACUCUUUAUUAGUGAAAACAUGAUCCCCACAGACUUGGUUGAGUGUCAGGCCUAAUGAACAGAGCAGUUCAUUCCCAAUGGUCUUACUCCAUGAAAAUCAGUUUCCAGGACUGUUUAUUAAAUGGGUAAAAUCAAUUUACACAUUACAGACAGCACAGAUAAUUGUUAAUGGAGAAUUGACUAAAACCUGUGAGAUACAGAAGAGGACAAGGCAAGGGUGUCCAUUGUUCCCAUUACUUUUCAUUCUGGUCUUGGAAGUUUUGCUUAGAGAUAUUAGACAAAAUGAAUUAUAACAAUGAAGAUAAAAGAAGAAUAUGACAACAAAAGAUCAGAAGGUUUUGGAGAAAACAGGGUUUCACAAUGGAAAAAAAUGAAAUACUUGGGUGUUACUAUGAUAAAUAUGAACUGCUCGUUAUUUCAAAAUAAUUAUGUUAUGAAACGGGCUGAAACUUAAAAAGAUAUGUAAAGAUGAGAGACAUUAAAACUGUCAUUAUUAGGUAGAAUUUCAGUGAUAAAGAUGAAUGUUUUUUCCCCAGAAUGAUGUUUUUAUUUCAAACAUUACCUAUUUUGACUAAUGACUUACCAUUUAAACAAUGGCAAAAAGAUUUAUCUAAGUUUCUAUGGCAAGGAGAAAAACCACAAGUCAAAAUGAAAAUAUUUCAAUAUGCGAAGGAAAGGGAAGAACUGGGUUUACCUGACCUGAAAUAGUACUUUGCAGACUGUUGUUUAGUGUUGAUGAAGGAAUGGGUGACCCUGAGAACUAGAAGAUCAUGAUUUAAGAUUUGGAUGGCAUGGAUAUUUGUGGUAUGGUAAGAUCAAAGCUAAUGUAGAUUUCAAAAUCAUUUCAUAGAAAACAUGCACUCCACUAUUAGAAUGGAGUUAGGGAGACGGUAAAAUUUAAAAAAAGGAACAAGGGAAGGUUAUAGUCUUUAAUUGUUUUUUUCCACCUACAACUAACAGAGAGAUUUAAGUUGGAGAAAAAGACAUUUGGUAUAGAACAAGAAAGACAGAUUUUUAAAUUAAGUUGUGUACAGAUAAUGAACAUGUUAUUGAGAAAAUUUCAACAAAACAAGUUAAAUGGGCAAAAAUGGGUAUGAUAAACAGAUGGAACAGUGGGAACAUAUGUUGACUAAAGGGUUAAAAUACACAUUUUAUUACAAAAUGAUGUAUCAUUGGGACUUAACUCCUGAUAGGUUAUUUAGAAUGUAUAAAAACAUUCCAAAUACUUGCUGGAAGUGUCAAGAAGGGACAUUUUUUUCAUGCUUGGUGGACGUGUAAAAAAGCUAAACAAUAUUGGAAACACUGACACUGAUACAGGAGAUUUUUAAGGUCAAUUUUCAACUAAAGCCGGAGCUCUUCCUGUUGGGACUUACGGUAUACAAUUAGAAAAAGACUAUGGAACUUUAUUUCAAAAUAUAUGCACAAAGAUGGAAAGAUUAUAGCCUCCAGUGGAGGAAUGGUUGUUAAAAUUACUGGACUUAGUUGAGAUGGCGAAACUGAUGUGGUUAAUCAGAGAAAAAUCAUUGUCAACAUUUACUAAAGAUUAGAAACUUCUUAUAGACAUUGUUCAUGAAAAAGAAAAUGAACUUAUGAUAUGUGGGUUUGAGGAUUCAAGAUAAUGCUGGGGAGAUUUAUUAGGUGUUAUCUUAGAGUGAAUGUGUUGAAUAAUUCUCUAUAAAACUGACAAAUGAAUAAUUGGAAGUUCUCUUUUUCUUUCUUUUUCCUUCUCUCUCUUUUUGCUCUGUGUUUUUAUUUAGAUUAAAUUUUUAUACAAUUCAUAAAAAUAUAUCCAAUAUUAAUCAUUGUAUUUCCCCCCCAAAUUUCAAAAUAAACAAAAAUCAGUUGCCAAGAAAGACCCUGUCUGCUCACAGCCAUCUAAAUCCCCUUCUCUCCAGGGCUUUCCCCAAGCAAUCAGAGACUACGCCUGCAUGCAGCCAACUUCUCCUCUGCCCUUUUCAUGCCUCUUCUGGUUCUGGGAGACAAGGGGAGAGGGGAGCUUGUCGCAGCAGGAGGGGGAGACGCCUGUGACUCUUCACCAGCCUGACUCAUUUCUGCCUCUUGGCCUCCCUCCUCCCACUCUCCUGCUUCAGCUUCUGGCUCUGAUUCUGGACUUCUUUCUGCCACAGAUUCUCCCAGCUUACUAAGCCCUGUUACCUCUUCAGCUUCUGACAUCUCCUCUUCCUAGUCUUCUCCCUCUGGACCAUUUAUCGUUGUCCCACUACUACUCCCUGGGCUCUGAGCCUUCCUCCCUUGUGGUUCCCUGGCUUGCUCCUCCUUCUGCAUCAAACCACUCUAUGACACAGUGCUUCUGAAUCCCAGCUGGUGGAAACAACAGGAGGAGAGGGUUUUGUGCUCGGCUCUUGCUUGCAGGUUUCCCACAAAAGGCAUCUCAUUGGCCACCGGGAGCAGGAUGCUGGACUAGAUGGGGCCAUUGCUUGAUGAAGCAGGGCUGUUCUUAUGAAUCACAGUCCUGAGGGGCAAAAAUACUAGCAACUCAAGUUAGAAACAUUUUUCAAAAGUCAUUGCUAAGCAGUGAUUUAGCAGCAGCUACCAAAAUACAUAGGUGGUCUACAAAGGGACAUCUGCAAUGUAUAGGGCAGCAAAAUAUUCCCUGGCCCUUUCUUUGAGAGUCCAAAGGGUUGAGGUUUGCAGUCAGCAGUCUGUAAUUUUAUAAAGAAGCUUGUUCAAAGUACUUUUGGUUAUUUUCCUUCACCUUCUUAUUUUGAUGGGGUGGUGGUCCCCAAAGCACACCCCAUUUUGUCCUGUAAUUGAUUUUCAUUAGAGCUCUCCUUUUACUGUCAGCACCUAAUUAUCAACCCAUAAUUGACCCCACCUUGCUAUAAAAGCUAAUGGCCGCUCUGAUUCCACCUCACAGCUCUUUCGAACUUUGGCUUGUCCAGUCACCAGCUGUUCUCAGUGGCAGAUCCCAAAGAGGCAGCCUGACUCGUGAUUCAAAUUGGCAAGGUUUCCAAGGAUGAGUUGCUGUUGGAAAAACAAACAGGGGCAGGGAGAGAGAUUAUGGUCUGGAUUUAGCAAAAUGACAGUUUUACAAAGGCGAGACCUCCUCUUGUCCAAGACAUCCCCUCCCACAAAGAAAUGCAUAAGGGACAUUUCACUGCUUUAGAGAGAUACAAGUGUCUUUGAGACAGAGGUCCACUGGCAGGAGAAGCUAACGAGAAAUAUACUUUGCCCUUCUGUGCUACUCAGUCCCCAUGUUUGUUUUUCCUGGGGCCGCCACUGCUGGUGGAAAGGAAGGGGAGCAAAAGGGAAGGAGCAAAUGAAAUAGUUAAGAAGGGAAGGGAAGGGAGGAAGAGCAAAAAGAAAAGGGAUGGAAGGAAAAGGAAAAAAAGGAAGAGGAGAAUGGGAGAAGGGAGGUAGGGAGGGUAAAGAAAAGCGGAAGGAAGGAAUGAAGGGGUAGCAAAGAAAGACAGAAAAUGUAAGUGAGAAAGAAAGAAAGAAAGAAAGAAAGAAAGAAAGAAAGAAAGAAAGAAAGAAAGAAAGAAAUUCUUUAUAUAUGGAACUGUUUGCAGCACAAUUGUGAGCACAUCUUACUCAUCUAGAGAAGCGACGUUGAGCAAAGCCAGCGGAGAGACACGCUCCACCUAAGUACCACUGUCAAUAUUAAAUUUAUCACAGGAGACCCUUGAAAUGGCUCCAUUCCAGGGAUGAGGUGAAUUAGCUUUGCUUGGGAAAGCAGCUAUUUUCCUAAUAAAUCUAUCAGGUGCAGGUAGUAAAAUGUUCUUAGCCGUGUCCGAUGUGUCUCCUGCCUGUAAUUAGCUAUUAAAACAUUACCAGCCUUGUGCUGUGUUAGCGGGUGAGGUUUAUUGCAUUGCGGAUAGGGAUGCAGGAGGAACAAUUCCCUCCAUGCCCUUCCUGGAAAUGCUUCUCGACAAGCAAACUGCUACUUUGAGCCAUUUCCAGCAGCAGGGGCAGGGGGUUGUGCCUCCUUAUAAAAUGGGACUCAGCUCGGUAUCUUUUAACAUGGAAGCAUGCAAGGAUUUCCGACAAACUGGCCCUCAGUUAAACAGACUGGAAGCAAUGGGGGGGGGGGGGGCCUGGAUGAUCCCAUAGAACAGGGCUGGGGAAUCUUGUUCAGCCCAAGAGCAAGAUGCCCUUCUGGGCAACAUUCUGCAGGUCAGAGGUAAAACUGGGCAGAGCAACAAAUGUGAGUUUUACCUUUUGCAGAGUAAGCUAGUUUCUACUAGACACUUGCACCCCUCUCUGUCCUCCUUCCAGACCAGCACAAUCACAUCUGAGGGAUGCAUUCCAGCCAAGCAACAACACUCAAAGAGGGUGCAAAGCUAGACCUGUAAGGGGACCUGGCUUGGGAAAGAGGGUGUGUCUGGUGAGAGGCAUGGGGAGUGCGAAGUGCUGAAUAUAGGGCCUUGGAGGGCUGAAUUGCCCCACCCCAGGCCAGAGGUUUCCCACUUCUGCUGCAGAAUAAGCUGGACCAGAAGAACAUGGGCACGCAACUCCCUCUGCCCAUACCCUGUUAAGUCCCAGGAGACACCAUCUAAGGAAAGUAGGGCCCGUUCAUUCUCACUAAGGCCACCUUUGCACCAUACAUUUAAAAUGUUAUGACACCACUUUAAACAGAAUUCUGGGUGCUAUAAUAAUAAUAAUAAUAAUAAUAAUAAUAAUUUAUUAUUUAUACCCCGCCCAUCUGGCUGAGCUUCCCCAGCCACCCUGGGCGGCUUCCAACAAAAUGUUAAAAUACAGUAAUGCAUCAAACAUUAAAAGCUUCCCUAAACAGGGCUGCCUUCAGAUGUCUUCUAAAAGUCUGGUAGUUGUUGUUCUCUUUGACAUCUGGUGGGAGGGCAUUCCACAGGGCGGGUGCCACAACCGAGAAGGCCCUCUGCCCGGUUCCCUGUAACUUGGCUUCUCGCAAUGAGGGAACCGUCAGAAGGCCCUCGGCGCUGGACCUCAGUGUCCGGGCUGGAUGAUGGGGGUGGAGACGCUCCUUCAGGUAUACUGGACUGAGGCCAUUUAGGGCUUUAAAGGUCAGCACCAACACUUUGAAUUGUGCUCGGAAACGUACUGGGAACCAAUGUAGGUAUUUGAAAACCAGUGUUUUGUGGUAUUGGUGGCCGCUCCCAGUCACCAGUCUAGCUGCCACAUUCUGGAUUAGUUGUAGUUUCCGGGUCACCUUCAAAGGUAGCCCCACAUAGAUCGCAUUGCAGUAGUCCAAGCGAGAGAUAACCAGAGCAUGCACCACUCUGGCGAGACAGUCCGCAGGCAGGUAGGGUCUCAGCCUGCGUACCAGAUGGAGCUGGUAAACAGCUGCCCUGGACACAGAAUUGACCUGCGCCUCCAUGGGCAGCUGUGAGUCCAAAAUGACUCCCAGGCUGUUCACCUGGUCCUUCAGGGGCACAGUUACCUCACUGAGGACCAGGGAGUCCUCCAUACCCGCCCGUCUCCUGUCCCCCCCCCAAAACAGUACUUCUGUCUUGUCAAGAUUCAACCUCAAUCUGUUAGCCGCCAUCCAACCUCCAACCGCCUUUGUUAAUCCUUUGUUAAGGCUGCAGAGAGUUAUUAGAAGUCAUGCUGUUGUUUCAUCUCUGGCUGCAGUUCUCCAAGAGGGAAAAAGAGGCCAUUCCCAACCCUCCCACUCCCCUAUGGUCCUGUAACUUGGGAUGCUACAGAUUGGACCUGGAACCUUCCCCGUGAUGCUCUCCUUCUGAGCUCUGGCCUUUCCUAGCCAGAAGGCAAGGGCGCUACUGAAGGCUGCCCAAAGCCCUUUCCCAGUGGUGGAGUGGAAGGCAGGGACACCAACAGUAGGUGGCGCCAGAGUCAAUGGCAGGCAGAACUGACUCAUCAGAGUUUUGUCCCCAUCCUCCUCCCUGCUGAGUUGCCAUAUGUCCAAAUUUUCCUGGAUAUUUCACCUGGACACUGCUGCCAACAGCAGUAUUCCUGAUACGUCCGGGAAAUUCCAGACGUAUGGCAAUUCCUAUGGCCUAUUGGCACCACUUCCCCAGCUACAUCAGGAAUGCUUUUCUGUGACCAGGGAGGGACCAGGUUGCUGAAUUUUGUCAAGCAAACAUUGGUGGCUGCAUUUGGAGGUUCCAUGAGGACUCCAAAGAACUGGCUUGGGCCACCACUGCACCUGACAUAUAAAGCACUCUUAGACCACUUUAAUCAUUCAUGACUUCCCCUUCAAGGACUGCUGGGAACUGUAGUUUGUUAAGGGUGCCGACAGUUGUUAAGAGACGCCCUAUUCCCUCACAGAGCUACUAUUCCCAGGAUGCUUUAACAAUCAAUCCUUCCCAUGAGACUCUGGAAACUGUAGCUCUGUGAGGGAAUAGGGGCCUCCUAAAGAUUCUCAGCACCCUGAAUGAACUAUAGUUCCCAGAAUUCUUUGGGGAAAGCUAUGACUGUUUAAAGAGGCAUCAUAGUGCAUUAAAUGCGUGGCCGUCCUUCUUUCUUUUACAGUCCUAGUUUCUGCCCCACUUUGCCACCAGCGACUCAAAUCCCUUUUUGCUUUGAUUUCUUCCUACACUUUCCUCUCCUCCCCUCCUUCCUCCUCUCCUCUCUGUUCACAGGCAAGAACCGUAUGGACAGACAGCAGGAAAGGAUCCCUGCUACCGCCUGGGAGCCGUAGGAGACCUUUCUUCAUGUCUUCUGUUUGCCAGUAUUUUGACAUUGUUAAGUUAAAACAAGCUCGCUCCGCACUUGAGGCCAGGCCUGAAACAUUCUCCUUUGAUCUGAAGGUCACCGCAGCCAUUCUGCCAGCCUCCUAACCCUGCUGGGCUGCCCUGUGGUUUUACUUUCAAACUGUACAGCGAGAGCUGGGGGGAGCCCAGGCAGAAUCCGUCCAGACAAGGAAACCCAAGAGCAGCAAGGAGCGGCCUUAAUUGCCACCGCCAAGGAUUCGAGUGUGGGAAACACCUCUUGGAGCGAGGGGCGGGGAAGCCUUUCCAGCCCGAGGUCCACAUUCCUUUCGGAACAACCUUCUGGGGAAUGCAUGUUAGCAGUGGGUGGGACCAGAAGCAAAAGUGGGUGGAGCAACAGAUGUGAAUUUGACCCUUUUUUUACAGUAGGCAAAGCUCUCUCUAUUCCCCAUCUAUGAAAGGAACGAGCAUAAUUGGCAUUUAAAGUCACAUUUCAGCCAAUCAAGGAGGGUGCAAAGUAGGGCUUAGAGCAGGGGUCAGCACACUUUUUCAGCAGGGGGCUGGUCCACUGUCCUUCAGACCUUGUGGGGGGGCUGGACUAUUUGUUUUGGAAGGGGGAUGAACGAAUUCCUAUGCCCCACAAAUAAUCCAGAGGUGCAUUUUAAAUCAAAGCAUACAUUCUACUCAUGUAAAAACACCAGGCAGACCCCACAAAUAACCCAGAUGCAUUUUAAAUAAAAGGACACAUUCUACUCAUGUAAAAACACGCUGAUUCCCGGACUGUCCACAAGCCGGAUUGAAAAGGCGAUUGGGCCUGAUCCGGGCCCCGGGCCUUAGGUUGCCUACCCAUGGCUUAGAGAGAGGGCUUAUGGCCUGGGCAGAGUGCAGAGGGCGAGAUAGAAAGGUAUUGUGGGUCACAUUUAGGGUUCCCCAUUCUCCAGCACUAGAGCUUGUGGACAUUCAAUGAAGCUGAAUGUUGAGAACAAAUGAAAGAAAUGACACAAAAUUACACUAUGGAACUUUCUCCCACAGGAGGCAAUGAUGGCUACCAACUUGGAUGGCUUCAAAAGAGGAUUAUACAAAUUCAUGGAGAAGGCUACUAACCACAUGACUAUGUUCUAACUUGAAAGCAGGUUCAAAUGAUGUAAAAAUGUGAUGGUGUGGUUUUUUCCUGGGGAGUGAGAAUAGAGGUGGGGGAGAAAAGUUCAGUUUGGUUUGCAUUUAAAGAUGAACCAACCUAAUUUGGCACUUUUUGGAACAAUAUGCAAACCAACCUUCGAAAUUGGCACUUCUCCAGUUUUUCAGUUGUUCAAUUUUUCAGCUUUGCUCCAACAAAAUAAUGUAUACAGAUAUGGAUAUGCUAGAGGAAAUUGUGCACUAAAGUUCAUAUAUUCAUGAAAAUAACAUAUAAGCACACAUUAUGUUAGGGUAAAAAUGGAUUUACCAAAGCUUGUCUAUUAGACAAAAAUACAUACAAAAUGUGUAAAUUAGGAGAAAUAUGCACCAAAAUACAGACCGUCUGGUUUUUGGCACCCAAAGUGUUUAUAUUUAGGUCCCACCUUAUUCCUUUGAUCGUGUUGUUUUAAACUGUUUUAAUAUUGUGGUUUAAUGUUUUAUCCAAGGCUUUUUUUCAGCUGGAACUCACCAGAACUCUUUGGUGAGUUCCAGCACCUCUUUUGUGCGUUCUGGUACCUCUCUAGCUGUCUGUGGGCAGCACAGCACUCUGUGUUGCGUGAUGGAGGCUGCAGGUGGCAUGGAGAUUGUUGCAGUGCUGCAGCAACACCGCAGUGUGGCUGGAACAAUCAACAACUUUGUGUGGGUGCCCUGGUUUUAACCUGCCUUGGGACCUUUGGGUGAAGUAACAGCUAGGAAGGAGGAGGAGGAGGGAAAUUUCCACAAGGACUUGUUUAAAAAAAAGUCACAAACUGAUGUAGAAAUUUGGAGAACUGAAGUUAAGUUUGGAAAAAUGAGCGAGGGAAACUGAAUUUGACAGGUUCAUCCAUCCUUAGUGCAGAAUGUUCCCUUUCUCAUGCAGAAGUACCAUCAAAGGCUCUUACAAAGAAUAGAAUCUGACUAUAAAUGAGCCACAACCCCCAGCAAAGUUCCUGUUCCCAAACUCUCCUCCACCAGGUCGUGGAGCAGCUCUUUGGUAAAAUGAGAUGGGCCUGCCUUCCUCCCGUGUUUAUUUAUCUAAAAUUAUUUAACUUGGUCACCCUACCGAGAUCAAUCUGCCAUUGACAGAGGCAACCUACCCCGCUGACUCCCUCACUCUCUCUUUGAGGGACUCAGCCAAGUCUGGCCCGCUUCUGUGUGAAAGAGCACUACCUAACACACACACACACACACACACACACACACACACACACCAUCACCUCAUCCACCUUCCAAACGCAACCUUACAAAUUCAGUGCAUAUGUUGGAGGCUGGUGCCAUCUGAUCCAGAUUAGAGCCAGGCCCACGCUGGGAUCCUUUUGCCGGCUCUUGGUUCUGGCUGUGGUUGGCCACUAAUGCACUUACACAGAUUUCCUAAUGAGAAGGCAUCUCACAUUUUGAUAUAUUAUUAUGUCUGAACUUCUUUUUUCUAUACCUCUUUGAAAGAAUCAGUGGUGGGGAGAGGGGCGUUUUCCCACUCCGCAAAAGCUGGAGCACCAAGCAAGUCUCAAAAGGUAUAAGCCAACUUUCUGUGCACAAAUAUCCUUUGAAAAGGUAGCCCUUUCUCACCGCAGUUUAAAGGGAAGGCUUUGAUUUCAAGCAUGGCUCUUCCCUAGAACCCAUGUCCAGUAUCAGAGCCUAUGGGUCAAUUCACAUAUUACGUUGUUCAGCUGUACAGUGGACCCUCCGGAUACUAACUUAAUUUGUCCCUGGGGUCUGUACUUACCCUGAAAAGUCUGUAUCCGGAGGUGCUGCUUCUGCGCAUGUGCGCGGUGAGAUAGCGCGCUUCUGCGCACACACGCACGGUGAAACCCGGAAGUAUACACUUCCGGGUUUGCCGUGUUCGUAACUCGAAAUUGCAUUACCCGAAGAUAACAUAACCCGAGGUACCACUGUACUCCUGAAGUUGUCUGCACUCCUAAAUAUGCCAUGUGCAAUGAACACAUUGUUGCUCUGUUGGUACAGUGGUACCUCGGGUUAAGUACUUAAUUCAUUCGGGAGGUCCGUUCUUAACCUGAAGCACCACUUUAGCUAAUGGGGCCUCCUGCUGCUGCCGCGCUGCCGGAGCAAUAUUUCUGUUCUCAUCCUGAAGCAAAGUUCUUAACUCGAGGUAUUAUUUCUGGGUUAGCAGAGUCUGUAACCUGAAGUGUAUGUAACCUGAAGCGUGUGUAACCUGAGGUACCACUGUAUUUGCCUCUGACCCUGUCCACCACUGGUAUGUGGCCCUCUGGAAGUUGCCCAGAAGAGAAAGAGGCCCCCAGGCUCAAAAAGGUUUCCUGCCCUUAUCUCAUAAUAAGCCACAGUUCCUUGCUGGUGUCCACAGACUUGCAACAUAAUGUGUGACAAGGAAUCAUCUCUGCAAGAGGCUGAAGUAGGAACCCUGUGCAAAGAGCCCAGCGGACAUACCGGUACCUGCUGGUGACACCUGCGGUGAGUAACAGUGUUCCAGUCUGAGCCUGGAAAAGCACAUAGAGAUGAAAGAGGAAGUGAGAAAGAGCGGCCCUUUUUCCAAAUUCUUCCUUCAACUCUAUGUACAUCCUGUUCUCAAAAGCGGACAGCCAGAUGCCCCAACGAGGAGCCUGAAAACAGGACUUGAGCACAGCAGCCCAAUUGCCACUUGUGAUCCUCAGCAGCUGGAAUUCAGAGGCAUACAGCCUCCAACAGUGGAGGAAUAAAAUAGCCAUUGUGGCUAGUAGCCAUUGAUAAUGCCGCUAGAAUAUGUCACAAGCAGCAAUAGACCCUGAUUUACAGCCUCUCACAGGGCACAGCCAAACAUGAGAUCCAAUCAAAGUAGGCACUCCUGUAACACCCAGAGGGCACAGAACGUGCGGAGCCAGUAGCCACAAUGAUAAACAUUGUGUGAGUUGCAAUGUGCUUUUAGGAAUGUUUCCCUGUUUCUAGGAAAAGCCAGGCACGAAUAAUCUGUUCUGUGCUUGUUUAUUUCUUGAAGCCAUUCUAGGCCAUUGACUCCCAUCCUGAAGAAGCACACUGGAGAAAAAUCACAGUACAUGACUACUCAGAAAUUAAUCCCAGUGAAUGUGACAGCCUAGCUGUGAUCCCGUGUCCCCAUCUUCCUCCUCCCAUUACAGAGUUCUACAAGGGGCAAUACUGAGACUAAGGAGAAGGAAGCUGACUGGCAGGGCCGCCCCCGUACUGUCUAUAGGUAAGAAGGCUGAUCAGCUUCAUCUGAAGAUCACAUUUUACAUUUCAGGUUCUCAUUUUACCAAUAUUUUGCAUAUUACCACAUCAGUUUGCGAUAUUUUCAAAGUCCUAAUGAAAAUACACCAGCAUUUAAGAGCAAAUUUCUUCUAAUAUAUUUACAUAUGUAUGUGAUUUUGCAUAACAUAAAUAUUUUUGCAAAGCAACUUUGCCUGAUAUAACACACUUUCAAUACCAUUUUCACUGUGUACCUUUUUAUACACACUUCACCCUUGUACAUGCAGUUUUUCAGUACAGUGGUACCUCGGGUUACAUACGCUUCAGGUUACAUACGCUUCAGGUUACAGACUCCACUAACCCAGAAAUAGUACCUCAGGUUAAGAACUUUGCUUCAGGAUGAGAACAGAAAUCGUGCUCCGGCGGCGUUGGGGCAGUGGGAGGCCCCAUUAGCUAAAGUGGUGCUUCAGGUUAAGAACAGUUUCAGGUUAGAACGGACCUCCGGAACGAAUUAAGUACUUAACCUGAGGUACCACUGUACACUGCAAAAUUCAGACAAGUGAAAUUUUUGAGGGAUGCUUAUGUUUUGGUUAGCGUAACUGAAAGGGUGGGUGGGAACAUGAGAACAGGUCCCAGGGAGGCUCACAUGGGGCCUUCAUUACAUAUCUUUAGGUGCCAAGCAAAAACAUUUCUCUAUGACCAAGCCCUUGGCUGAUUAUAGAUUAACAUUCUAUGGCCUUUAAAAUGUGUUUGUGGGCUGGUGGACAUUGGGUUGUAUCUGUUUUAUUAUGUCUUUUUGUAUUUCUCAUUUUGCAUUUUUAUGUUGCGAACUGUCCUGUGAUCUUCAGAUGAAGGGUGGUAUAAUAAUUUAAUAAAUAAUAAUAACAGGUUUAAUUUAAAGCACAUUCAAGGCACCUUUAAAACACAUGACUUUCACUAAAGUAUCCUGGGAACCAUAGUUCCCCCCCUCAUGGAGCUAGGAUUCCCAGCACCAUUAACAACAACAGUUCCUAUGAUUCUUUGGUGAGUGGGAGGAGCCAGGUCCUUUAAAUAUGCCUCACAUGUGCUUUAAAUGUAUUGUGUGGAUCAGCACUAAGUCUUCUAAGAGCAAUACCUAACUUUUCACUGUUGUCUUAUUGUUCAGUUAAUGUACAGAAACUGCAGAUUCUAGGCUUGGAUUCUCUUUUUAUCUUUUCUUUUAAAUGUUCGCUGUUGUUUUAUUCUUUUGACACCUGCUGAAGGGCUGCAAUUUAUUGAUAACCAUUUCCUAGCAGAUCUGAAGAAGUGUGCAUGCACACGAACGCUUACACCAAGAGCAAACUUAGUUGGUCUCUUAAGGUGCUACUGGACAAUUUUUUUAAUAUAUAUUUCAUUUCCUAGCAAUUAGCCCCAUCAAACUUAACAGAGUUUACUUCUGAGCAGACACAUAACUUAUACACGUCAUAGGACUGCAUUGUAAAUAAGUAAGUAAAAGAAGUAAGAUUUUUUUUAAGAAAGAAAAAGUACUAAAUCUCAAACCAGCUUGGAAGAUAAAUACAAAUGUUGUCCGCACAUGGGAAGCAGGAGGACGUCUCUGAGCCAUACAAAGCGCCUUUCUCUCCCUGCUACUGAUUUCACCAUGAGGAAGCCUCCGAUACACUCAGGCUCAGCCCUUCUCUUUACACCAAUUAAAAAGGCCCCUUCAGAUGAAAGAAGGAAGUUACGGUUGCUCUGAGCAGGUGGCUGCCCUCCAGCUCCAGGCACACCUGGAUAAGACUCAAUUCCUAAAUCCCAAAAGGUUUCCCGGGCCCAGUUCCAAAAUUUAGACACAGGGGCCCCUCCCACUGCAGGGGGGGGGGGAGGGAAGCACCAGAGACUGCAAAUAAGCAUGUGUGACAGUUCAUAUGAUAUAUCAGGGGGUGACAUCGUGGGGUUGACUGCUGACCAGCACUAAUCAAAAGGCACUGGCUAGCUGCCGUCCAAAGGCAAUACAUUUUCCAGUCCCUAUUACCUCUGCCUUCUUCUAAGACCCACCAGUAUGAAUAUAUAUGAGAAUGUCAACAAAUCAAGCUUUGCUAUUCCUUUAAAAGUAAUUCUGGGCAGCACCAGCUAAUUGCCUUUAAAUACUUAACUAGUGGUGCUUAGUGGUUAUGGAAGCCCAUUGUAAUGUGGGAAUGUAAUGUAAGAAUAGGUUGCUGGAUCAGACCAAUGGUCCGUCUAGUCCAGCAUCCAGUUCUCAUAGUGGCCAACCCGAAGCCUGCGGGAAACCCACAAGCAAGACCCAAGCACAGUGGACUACUCCCUGUUGUUAUUGUUGCUGCUGCUGCUACUGUACCACCACCAUCAUCAUCAUUAGGAGCCCAGGGAAACAAACACACAAAUGAUACAACAUUAAAGGUAAAGGUACCCCUGCCCGUACGGGCCAGUCGUGUCCGACUCUAGGGUUGUGCGCCCAUCUCACUUAAGAGGCCAGGGGCCAGCGCUGUCCGGAGACACUUCCGGGUCACGUGGCCAGCGUGACGAAGCUGCUCUGGGGAGCCAGCACCAGUGCAGCACACGGAAACACCAUUUACCUUCCCGCUAUAAAGCGGUACCUAUUUAUCUACUUGCACUUUGACGUGCUUUCGAACUGCUAGGUGGGCAGGAGCUGGGACCGAAAGACGGGAGCUCACCCGCCGCGGGGAUUCGAACUGCCGACCAUGCGAUCGGCAAGCCCUAGGCACUGAGGUUUUACCCACAGCGCCACCCGCGUCCCGAUACAACAUUAAAGCAUCUCUAAACAGCGGGUGGCACUGUGGGUUAAACCACAGAGCCUAGGGCUUGCCGAUCAGAAGGUCGGUGGUUCGAAUCCCUGCGACAAGGUGAGCUCCCGUUGUUCAGUCUCAGCUCCUGCCAACCUAGCAGUUCGAAAGCACGUCAAAGUGCAAGUAGAUAAAUAGGUACUACUCCGGCGGGAAGGUAAACGGCGUUUCCGUGCGCUGCUCUGGUUCCCCAGAAGUGGCUUAGUCAUGCUGGCCACAUGACCCGGAAGCUGUACGCCGACUCCCUCGGCCAAUAAAGCGAGAUGAGCGCCGCAACCCCAGAGUCGUCCGCAACUGGACCCAACGGUCAGGGGUCCCUUUGCCUUUACCUUUAAACAUCUAAAAACAACUCCAAUAUACAGAUCCGGGCUAGGAAAGAUCUCAAUUUUAAAAGGCUUUUUGGAGAGGAAGAUGUUUAGUAGGCACUGAAAACACAACAGAUACAGAGCCUGUCUAAUAUUCAAUGUGAGAGAAUUGCAAUAGCUAAGCACCACUGCACGAAAUAUCCAAUUCUGAUAUUGUGCAGAACAGACAUCUUGCUAUAUUGGCAUCUGCAGGAGACCCUCACCUAUAGAUUGCAGGGGUGGUUGGGGUGUAUGAGGGAUGGGGUGACUUUUCAAGUAUCCUGGUCCCAAGUGGCAUGGGACUUUAUACACUAAAACCAGCACCUUGAACUUAGUUUUGAGGGCUAUGGGAGGUUAAUGGAGAGAACUGGGGAUAAAGGGGAAGCUUGUGGUUGGAGGAAUUAUCACCUAGGUGCAACAUCCAUGAGAUGGGACAGUUCUUGGGAGUAAGGAGCAGUCCUCCAGGUCCUUGGUUGUACAGGAGCUCUCCGUGGCAUUCAACAGCUCUUCUUCAGAGGCGGUAUCAGCAAGUCCUGAUUUGCUGAGCACCCUUCUCCAUCCUAUACCUCACACUGUACAUGUUUACUAUGAGAAACACCCACUGGCAUGGAAAGGGGAAAAUAAAACCUCUCAGAGAACUUUUGUCAGCCCUCACCUGGCCUAUAACUGUCUCAGUUGCAAAAAAAAGGGGGCAUCACCUCAUCCCAGGAGAGGCCUGCAUUUCCCCUGUAGCAAUUUCAUUUGUAUGAGACAUCUGGGGGCGGGAAGCACACCAGUGCUUUCACCAAAUGCACCCCACUGGGCAGAAAUUAUCUGAGCUUUCUUUAAUCUUUGCUGCUGCUGCUGCUUUUUUGCAGAGUUCACCGAAGGGAAAAGCGAACAUAGCCAGGCAGAUGCUGAAAGAGUACAAAAGAAGCCCGCGAGGUUUUGAAGUCACGCCAGCAGCAACUGGAACAGCCUAUAAACUUGUACUUUAUUUUAUUUUUUUCAACAGAAAAAGAAAGGUAAAUUGGAGCAGCAAUUAUUUUUUUAAAAAAAACAUCCAGGUUGCUAAGAAUUACUCAAUUGCCAGCAUUCACUCUGAAAACAGCAGAGGUUCUGUUGCUCUGAUGGUGCUGUUUGUUAGCCUUAGCUUUUAUCAUCGCGAUCAUUAUCAUAAAGUUUGCU